Molecule: long non-coding RNA, 137 nt
Organism: Anopheles funestus (African malaria mosquito)
Lineage: Eukaryota; Metazoa; Arthropoda; Insecta; Diptera; Culicidae
Exons: 3
Source: RefSeq, a predicted model, not a curated record
UUAGUUUUGGUAAAAGUUAGGUUUUUUCGAAAAAGUUAGGUUUUUUCGAAAAAGUUAGUUUUGGUAUAAGUUAGGUUUUUUCGAAAAAGUUAGUUUUGGUAUAAGUUAGUUUUUUUGAAAAAGUUAGUUUUGGUAUA